Malus domestica (apple) is the source of this 527-nucleotide long non-coding RNA. RefSeq lists it as uncharacterized. The record is from RefSeq and is a predicted model, not a curated record. NCBI's taxonomy places the organism in Eukaryota, Viridiplantae, Streptophyta, Magnoliopsida, Rosales, Rosaceae.
UGAAAGAACUGCAGUCCAAUGGCUGUAUAGAAGAAAAGGACAACGCAUGCUCUCUCUCUCUCUCUCUCUCUCUCUCAUAGUAGCUCCGUGUUCCUCUCCCCCCAAACCUAAUGGAUUCAGCCCAAUUCGGAGCUCCAGGCAGGUAUCGCAUGUAUAACCACAACAAUUUUUGUGUUGGAUUGGGGUCAAAGUGUCUAGCUUUAUUAGCUAUUUGGUCGCCUGUGUAUUUGUAAUCUAAAUAAUAUGAAUUAAGGCUUUUCUGUUAGUGUCCGAUUGGUCAAGAAAGGAUGCUUCUUUUUUGUUAUCAUGCAUAUUUAAGCUGUAAAGAUCUGAAAAACUGCUUAAUUAAAGUGAGAUUUCCAGUUUUUAAGCUCAGUUUCAGGUCUUGAGCUUUGAAUUUGUUUACAUGUAUCCCAGCUGAAGCUAUCUAAUCGUAGUUUUGGGGGAUUUUGCUCAAAAUCUGGAGAGCUCUCUCGCUUUCCUCUCUAUGUAAACCCAAGAGAAAUUCCAUGGAAAUUGUUAAUGUC